GCUCAGCUGAGAAAGCCCUGAGUCCUUACAAAAACAGGGAUUUGGGUUUGCUGGUUUCAAAGGCUUCUUCCAGAUGUAACUGGAUGGUGGUGCUGGUGCCGGUUCUGGUGGUGGUGCUGGUGGUGCUGAUGGUUCUGCUACUGGUGGUUCUGGUGGUGAUGCUGGUGAUACUGGGAUACACUGGGAGAGGUUUAACUGCAUCUACCCAGGGAGCCUUGGGAGAGACCUGAAUACUUCAAGGAUUUGGAGAAUUGGCUGAGAAGAGCAAGCAGGACCUGCAGCAAUGGGCGAACGUCCAGAAACCCUUUCUGACAAGGACAACGCCCACUGCAGAGGAAGGCUCCACCUCUGGUUUAGAGAAAGCCCCUUUAAUAGCGAGGGCUUCCUUAGGAAACUUAUAUAGUAAUCAUCCUCAGCGUGCCUGCACACACACACACACACACACAUAUACACACAUACACACACACACACACACACACACAUACACACACACACACACACUCACACACACAAACUGCUUCUCUCUGGUUCCCAGGCAAGAAGUGUUGUAGACUGUGUCUCUUUUCAGCCCUAGAAGGAAAAAGCAGCUUUUAGGUACUGAGGCCGACGAGAGCCGAGAACAAAUUCACUCUGAGCAUUUACGGUCUGUGUGACAUAAACUAGUCCCUCAAUCUCAGUCUCCUUUUCCUCACUUGUAAAAAAGGGAUGAUGAUAACAGCAAUGCCGACCUCCCAAAGGGGUAAGGACCAGAUAAUAACUGCUAGUAAGGGGCUCAGCACAGGGCCGGGCCCAGAAUACAUCCCAAAUGAAGGUUCCUUCCCUCCUGCCCACUCCCCUCACCCCAGGAUGUGACCAGCAUGGAUGCGGUGGAUUUAUUUUCAGAAAAAUGCUGGAGAGAGAAGUCUGUCCUGAUGUCCUCUGUCACCGGGAGAUUCCAGGAGCUCUCUGACAGUUUGCUCCAAUGGACGUGCAGAAAAUUGGCGAGGAGGGAAGAAGGAUGCAGACUGGCAAUAGCAGAAAAGGCUGGGGGAUCCUGGGAUGGCUUUUUUCCCAUCCAGUUAGCUUGGGCACGUUGGGCCUGUCUUUAACCUCUUACAAGCAAACUUUGACAGCCAGGGAAGAAGCUCCUCUCACCUUCUCUGUCCCUCACCCCGAUUGUUCCCUGCUUCUGCGGAGACCCCAGCCCAUCCUCCAGGUAGGAGUUAGUGUUCAGAUGCUUGUGGCCGCACUUGGAACAGUGAGGGCCAGCCAGAAACAGUCCCUGUCUGAGACAACCGAGGAACUGGGCCGUCCACCUCUCGAAUUGUGCGUCAGAGCCGGGCUGAAGCGGAGCUCCCAAGUUCUGUCUCUGCUGUACCAGGAGGAAAUGAAAUGAUUGUCUUCGGGGUCUCGGAGAAACUGCUCAGAUUCACCCAUGGUCGGAGAAGUCAGGAUAUCAUCGGUUUUCCAGAACUCAGGUCCAGCAAGCAGCCCGUGCCCCGACUUUGCCAUAACAACAAUCCUUUGCUCUCACCCUCUGGAUGAUCUCAGCCUCUGGUUAUGGCAGGGAUCAGACACUCGAAGGGGCCGUUCUCCAGUGGAGUCAAGGACACUGAGGUCUGAGUUAUUUUUGUUCAGAAAACAAAGAAAAAUAAAGUUUUGUGCUCCAAGAACAUCCGGAUGCUGAGGACAACGCCAGGGACCUCCAGUGCUUAUUAAAUAGUUAA
Molecule: long non-coding RNA, 1706 nt
Organism: Sarcophilus harrisii (Tasmanian devil)
Lineage: Eukaryota; Metazoa; Chordata; Mammalia; Dasyuromorphia; Dasyuridae
Exons: 3
Source: RefSeq, a predicted model, not a curated record